Molecule: transfer RNA, 71 nt
Filed under: Hofstenia miamia
Lineage: Eukaryota; Metazoa; Xenacoelomorpha; Acoela; Hofsteniidae
Description: tRNA-Undet for anticodon ???
Rfam family: tRNA
About the family: Transfer RNA (tRNA) molecules are approximately 80 nucleotides in length. Their secondary structure includes four short double-helical elements and three loops (D, anti-codon, and T loops). Further hydrogen bonds mediate the characteristic L-shaped molecular structure. tRNAs have two regions of fundamental functional importance: the anti-codon, which is responsible for specific mRNA codon recognition, and the 3' end, to which the tRNAs corresponding amino acid is attached (by aminoacyl-tRNA synthetases). tRNAs cope with the degeneracy of the genetic code in two manners: having more than one tRNA (with a specific anti-codon) for a particular amino acid; and 'wobble' base-pairing, i.e. permitting non-standard base-pairing at the 3rd anti-codon position.
Source: RNAcentral
CAAACAGUGGUGAAGUGGUAUCACAUCCAUUUUAAAAUGGAAGGUCAUUGGUUCAAAUCCAAUCUGUUUGA